UCCCAGAAAGUCCCGCAAAACACCGAGUAACGCGACUGUUAAUCCGUAGGUCCCUGGUUCGAGCCCAGGUCGGGGAGCCA
RNAcentral lists this transfer RNA (80 nucleotides) under Burkholderiaceae bacterium. Its description in RNAcentral is "tRNA-Asn". The record is from RNAcentral. RNAcentral also lists the same sequence under 1 other name. Lineage: Bacteria; Pseudomonadati; Pseudomonadota; Betaproteobacteria; Burkholderiales; Burkholderiaceae.